RNAcentral lists this ribosomal RNA (468 nucleotides) under uncultured bacterium. RNAcentral describes it as "partial 16S ribosomal RNA". It matches the Rfam family "Bacterial small subunit ribosomal RNA", at positions 28 to 507 of the family's 1533-position model. The record is from RNAcentral.
GACGAACGCUGGCGGCGUGCUUAACACAUGCAAGUCGAACGGUAAGGCGCUGCAUUUGUGGGGUGCUCGAAUGGCGAACGGGUGAGUAAGAAGUGAGUAACCAGCCCCUGACUUUGGGAUAAUAUCUGGUAAAUGGGGUUAAUAAUAGCUAGUAACUCCUCCUGCAUGGUGGGGGUUGGAUAGUUUCGGCGGUUUGGGAUGGACGCGCGGCUUAUCAGCUUGUUGGUGGGGUAGUGGCUUACCACGGCUUUGACGGGUAGGCGGCCUGAGAGGGUGACCGCGCACAUGGGGACUGCGGGAGGGAGCAGUGUGCAACGGUGGGCAGCAGUGGGGAAUAUUGCGCAAUGGGGGGGAGCCUGAUGCGGCAACGCCGGGUGCGGGAUGACGGCCUACGGGUGGUGAACCGCUUUCGCCUGAUACGAAGCGUGAGUGACGUUAAUGGGUGAAGAAGCACCGGCUAACUACGUG